UUUUUUUAGCUGCUAGUAGUUUAUGUGAGAUAUAAAUCAAAUGAUGUCUGCUUUCUUUCAAAAAAAAUACUCUGAUUUUAUGUGAUGGUAACCAGCUCUCAGAUUAGAUCUGCUCCAUGUAAUCUUAGUAAUCCAAACAACACAAGAUAACUCAUCUAGCUCUCAGAUCAGAUCCAACUUAGUGAACCAAACAACACAAGAUAACUCAUCCAACAAUUCUUCAACUACAU
Molecule: long non-coding RNA, 230 nt
Filed under: Hordeum vulgare
Lineage: Eukaryota; Viridiplantae; Streptophyta; Magnoliopsida; Poales; Poaceae
Description: long non-coding RNA (HVUL_LNC009606)
Source: RNAcentral